GAAAAAAAAAAAAAAAAGUACGAAUGCAUCAUUUGAUAUAAAGAAGCAUAUCCGAUAGUCUAAAAUAUUGUUUGGAAUCAAGUGAAAAUUUUAAAAUAAAUUAUGAAAAUUAUAGAAUGAAAUAAUUUAAAGAAAUUAAAAUUAAUAUAAAUUUAUUGGAUUAACAAAUUACAGCCUUUCUUUAAAAAAUGAAGGGUAUAUAAAUAUGUAAUGUUGGAUGCAAAUAUAGUUGAUGCUUUUUGUUGGAUUUUAUUUAAGCAUUUUAUAUUUAUAUUCAAAAUACUAUUUUUAUAAUUAUAUUGUUUAUAUAUUAUUAACUCAGAAAAGAUUAUACAAAUGGCCAAGCUGCAAACUCAAGGUCAGUGUUAUUAAGGUGAGAGGCAUCAUAGCACCCUAUGGCCUUAGGCGAAAGGUGAGGUAAUGGCCUUACUGAAGUGGGGCACCAUAGCCUACACACACACA
Molecule: unclassified non-coding RNA, 462 nt
Filed under: Hevea brasiliensis (rubber tree)
Lineage: Eukaryota; Viridiplantae; Streptophyta; Magnoliopsida; Malpighiales; Euphorbiaceae
Source: RNAcentral